UUGGUCCUCUCUACGUCCCCCUUACAGCGCUGACGUAAGACAGAGAGCGUGCGUAGGCGGCCAUCUUUGUGCACCCUCUCGGUUUCAGUUUCUUUUUGUGUAAACGUCACCGUUUCAGACCCGGGAUCUCCUAUGAUGUCGUCAUUUUGUCAUUAUAACCCACUUGUAACACGGUGAUUGGAAAACUUUUUUUUCGACAGGAAGAUGCUGGGGGCCGCCGCCCGGAUCCUGUGGAUCUCAAGACAAAGAAUCCCCCUGAACAAACUGAUCUCUUCUAGAUUAACCCUUCACAGAUCCUGCAUAAAUGCACCGAAUUCUACAGGGCCGAGCCGGGCCCCAAGGACUGAACUGUAUCCAGGGGCAACGAGGCACUGCAGCUCAUCCGUAUCCCCCCCAUCCUGGAGCGCGGUCUAUGGGGCGCGUGGAGUGAGAUAUACCAAUGGUGGACACAGCCCGAGGGGGUAUACAGGUUAUAUACAGCGCUCAGGUGCCCCCCCGAGGACCCCUCACACUCCUCCCGGGGGCCACAGAUCCAUCCACACCUCCGGCCGCCGCUAUGUCCUCUUACCACCUCACAUCUGGAUCUUUAUCAAACCGCUGCAGAAACUGAUGGCGAUUAUCCUUGGCAGGAGUGUCAGGAGGUGGUGGAAAUCUCUUCCAGCGAACAAGCGGCAACUAUUCAAAGAGAGCGUGAGGCGGAACAAGUGGAGGCUGUCUCUUGGUGCCGGCGCCCUGGGAUUUGUCUUUAUUCUCUUUUACUUCACCAACCUGGAGGAGACACCGAUCACUGGGCGCAGCCGCCUCCUGGUGUUCAGAAAGGAGGACUACAACCUGCUCACUAAUGUGGAGUACGAGAGCCUGACUGAGGAGUAUAAGGAGGUCUUGCUCCCCGCGGAGGACGCGCGUUAUCAGCUGGUGCAGAAGCUUGUUGACCGCCUUAUCACCUGCAACCACGACCUUCCCGAGGUGUCCCGGAUGAAGUGGACCGUGCACAUCGUGGACCAGCCGGAUGUCAUCAACGCUUUCGUGCUGCCGAACGGUCAGGUGUUUGUGUUCACAGGAAUGCUGAAUGCCGUGGCUGAUGUAGACCAGCUGAUCAUUAUUUUGGGUCACGAGCUCGCACACGCCAUUCUUGAACAUACGGCAGAGAAGGCCAGUGUCAGCCAUUUUCUGGACUUCCUCCUCCUCAUCUCUUUGGUGAUGAUUUGGGCUGUGUGCCCCAUGGACAGCCUCGCCAUCCUGGGUCAGUGGAUUCAGUCCAGAUUACGAGAGUUUCUCUUUGAGAGACCGUACAGCCGCACACUGGAGGCAGAAGCAGAUAAAGUUGGACUUGAGCUCGCUGCAAAGGCCUGCGCCGAUGUCAGAGCCAGCUCCGUCUUCUGGAAACAGAUGGAAGUGUGCGACACCCUGCUGGGGCAACCCCGCGUCCCGGAAUGGCUGUCCACCCAUCCAUCGCACGAGAACCGCGCCGACCACCUGGACAGGCUCAUCCCCAAGGCCAUUAAAGUGAGGGAGUCCUGUCACUGCCCUGACCUCCCCUCCAUUGACCCCAGAUUAGUCUUCGAGAUGUCCGUAAAGGAACUCCUGAAGAAACACGAAAACUCAGACCGAAAAGGGAUCAGCGUCGCCGCCAAACCUCUGGGAGCGGACGACAAAGUCGCAGUCACGGCCGGGGCUUAGCGGCGCGUUCAGCGUGGCACAAUGGGACGUAUGCGCCUUUAAAACAUUUGCCAUAUAUUGAUAUCUUAAUGGUCUACAGUUUGGCAAUCACUGUCUUAGGGCAGUCAGAACCCUUCAGACUAGUGAUGAGGGUCCUGAUGGGUCCCAGUGGGGUGCCCAGGUCGUUUAAUCCUGAAAGCCUUAAUAUAAUUUUUUUUUACAUUACGAGAAAAAAAAAUGAACAUUUUAGUUUACUGUCACUUUAAGGACAAUUUGUUACGAAUUACAUUUUUAUAUGCGCUGAUACAUUGUAACGAACAUAUCAGGACAGCAAAGAGAUUUGUGCUGCUGAUGUAUUCACACAUCGGUGUCCAAACUGGAUACAACUGAAGCAAACCCUCAGCUGUAGAAAGUACGAGGCCUUGAGAGUGUAAUUGAGAAUGUCCACAUUCACUGGAAGCAAGCAGAGAUCUCUGAACACUUCAGGAUUAAAGGGGUUAUCCAGGAUUAGAAAAACAGAGCUGAUUUCUUCCAAAAACAGCACCACCACUAUCCACAGGUUGUGUGUGGUAUUGCAGCUCUGUUCCAUUGAAGUGAAUGGAGCCAAGUUGUAAUACCAUACACAACCUGAGGACAGGGGUGGUGCUGUUUUUUGGUAUGAAUUAUUUCUGAAUAAUCUUAAAACUGACAAAAUAGUUUGAUUAUUUACCACCGCCCUGAUCAGCUGAUCGACCUCUGGAGCCUCACAGGACACUCCCCAGUCCGUCCAUAGGAGGGCGCUCUGUCAGCGCUAUUGUUUACUUUUUUAUGUCCCUUUUUUUAUAGAAGUAGUGCAAAAAAAUAAAAAAAAAACACACAAGUUGGUGUAACAACCAAUCAGAUUGCUGCUUUAAAAAGACAUUGCUGCAUUUAGAUUUGAGAAGGAAUGUAUAAAACAAUAGCGCCCCCUAUCUAGGUAUAGCAUAAUGAAUGUAACAUUCGGUAUCAUGGUGACUUGUCAUCCUGUAACGGACCAAAGCAAUAUGGCCGCCAUGGGACACCCCGAAGACAGGGGAACUGACACAGGACUCUGAUACAUUGUUGCGGUUUCUGCUGAUAGUUAAACAUUGGAUCACCUUUCAUCUUCCUAUCCUGUCUUAUACUCUAGUCCGGUGUUUACCAACCAGUGCGCCUCCAGCUGUUGCAAAACUACAACUCCCAGCAUGCCCGGACAGCCGUUUGCUGUCCGGGCAUGCUGGGAGUUGUAGUUUUACAACAGCUGGAGGCACAUUGGUUGAGAAACACUGGCCAAAGGAUGCCCAGGCAUGCUGGGAGUUGUAGUUUUGCAACAGCUGGAGGCACACUAGAUAGGAAACAGGGAUUUAAUGCAUGCACUCAUUAAAUGAGUACAUGCUGGGAGUUGUAGUUUUGCAACAGCUGGAGGCACACUAUAUAGGAAACACUGAUUUAAAGGGGUUAUAUAAAAAAAAAAGUUUUUUCCUGGAUAUCAACUGGCUCCAGAAAGUUAAACAGAUUUGUAAAUUACUUCUAUUAAAAAAAUCUUAAU
Molecule: RNA transcript, 3205 nt
Organism: Hyla sarda
Lineage: Eukaryota; Metazoa; Chordata; Amphibia; Anura; Hylidae
Gene: OMA1
Gene name: OMA1 zinc metallopeptidase
Exons: 10
Source: RefSeq, a predicted model, not a curated record